AGUCAUUUGUUGGUGCUGGUUUUUUUUUUUUUUUUUCCCCCAAGAUUCUGAUUGGCUAGCAUGGCUUCAUGUUUCUCAUUACAUUGCCCCCUACAGGUUUAGAAUGCUCAUUGCAGCUCUGCACCAAGUGUGUGUGUGU
Long non-coding RNA from Salarias fasciatus (jewelled blenny), 139 nucleotides. RefSeq lists it as uncharacterized. The record is from RefSeq and is a predicted model, not a curated record. The transcript has 4 exons. Lineage: Eukaryota; Metazoa; Chordata; Actinopteri; Blenniiformes; Blenniidae.